AUUGAAUUGAAGUAAGUCUUGUUAAUUCUAAAUAACAUGUGUUCACUAGUAAUUUGGCAUAGGUUCAGAGUUCUAAUGCAUUUAAUUUUCUCUUAAAAGUGAAUAUCUAUGGCUGCCAACUUCUUAUGUGGAGAAUAUCUUAAGGAGCUUGCAGUAAAAAAAAUUUAGUUUUCAAAGGAUGUUUUUAUCUUGAUUUGAUAUGAAUGAUUAUAUCUGAAACAAAGUUUGCAUGGAUUUUUAUUAGAUCCGAUUGUUGAUCUCCUACUUUUGUGUCAUUAUGUUAAAUAACAUUUAUCUAUGCUUUUAAAGCAAUCAUUAUUUGAACAGAAGCUACUUCAAUUUUGUUAUUUUCUAAUUGAUGAAUGUUCUAACAAAUCUAGAUUUUUCAUUUUAGUUGUUAGAGACUUGUGAAGCCAAUUGAUAGUUUUUUGAUUUCUAACAAUUAGGUCACCCGGUUUGGUAAAAUAAAAAGAAGACUGCUAUUGCCACAGGCAAUUAAGUGAAUUAUUAGUUUUCUUCCUAAACUGCGACCCUUAGAAUUUGAAUCAGAGAAAACUUUACUCUUUCAUCUAGAUUCCAGUAUAAUUGCAUUUUUAUCUUGUAAAAAAGUUGGUAUAGGUGUGUGGCAGCGAGAUGAUUAUGAUUAAACUGAACUGGACAAAAUUUUCUCAUCAGCAUAAACUCUUCCUUUUUUUUUAUAUGAUAAGCAAUGAAAAAUGUUAGGAAAGUAAAUUGAGAUCCAUGAGUGAAUAUCAGUAGACCCGGCAAAUUUUCACUGAGACAAAAUGACAAACACUUCGUGCAUUGUUAGAAAAAUCAGAAGCCCCUAUUAAAAACUUAAAACUUUCAGUCAGCUCCUCCACAAGUAUCAUAACAAACACGAUGUUCCAAGUAUAAUUCAAGCUUGGCAAUAGCUGACGCAAGACAAAAUAUCAUACUCUUUGAAACACUUUUCUUCUGUACCAAUAAAUCAAAAUUCUUUUACAUCAUCCUUAAUUAAUUUAGCUUUUACAUCCAUCAUCAUCUUUCUUAUUGCUCAUAUGGGAGAGUGAGCAUAUAGAGAGAAAAAAAGAGAGAAGGAGAGAGAGGA
This 1090-nucleotide unclassified non-coding RNA is filed under the name Hevea brasiliensis (rubber tree). Lineage: Eukaryota; Viridiplantae; Streptophyta; Magnoliopsida; Malpighiales; Euphorbiaceae. The record is from RNAcentral.